AACGAACGCCGGCGGCAUGCCUAACACAUGCAAGUCGAACGAGACCUUCGGGUCUAGUGGCGCACGGGUGCGUAACGCGUGGGAACCUGCCUUUAGGUUCGGAAUAACUCAGAGAAAUUUGAGCUAAUACCGGAUGAUGUCUUCGGACCAAAGAUUUAUCGCCUUUAGAUGGGCCCGCGUUGGAUUAGCUAGUUGGUGGGGUAAAGGCCUACCAAGGCGACGAUCCAUAGCUGGUCUGAGAGGAUGAUCAGCCACACUGGGACUGAGACACGGCCCAGACUCCUACGGGAGGCAGCAGUGGGGAAUAUUGGACAAUGGGCGAAAGCCUGAUCCAGCAAUGCCGCGUGAGUGAUGAAGGCCUUAGGGUUGUAAAGCUCUUUUACCCGAGAUGAUAAUGACAGUAGCGGGAGAAUAAGCUCCGGCUAACUCCGUG
This 433-nucleotide ribosomal RNA is filed under the name uncultured bacterium. RNAcentral's name for it is "partial 16S ribosomal RNA". It matches the Rfam family "Bacterial small subunit ribosomal RNA", at positions 29 to 507 of the family's 1533-position model. The record is from RNAcentral.